ACGCUGGCGGCGUGCCUAAUACAUGCAAGUCGAGCGAACGGACGAGAAGCUUGCUUCUCUGAUGUUAGCGGCGGACGGGUGAGUAACACGUGGAUAACCUACCUAUAAGACUGGGAUAACUUCGGGAAACCGGAGCUAAUACCGGAUAAUAUUUUGAACCGCAUGGUUCAAAAGUGAAAGACGGUCUUGCUGUCACUUAUAGAUGGAUCCGCGCUGCAUUAGCUAGUUGGUAAGGUAACGGCUUACCAAGGCAACGAUGCAUAGCCGACCUGAGAGGGUGAUCGGCCACACUGGAACUGAGACACGGUCCAGACUCCUACGGGAGGCAGCAGUAGGGAAUCUUCCGCAAUGGGCGAAAGCCUGACGGAGCAACGCCGCGUGAGUGAUGAAGGUCUUCGGAUCGUAAAACUCUGUUAUUAGGGAAGAACAUAUGUGUAAGUAACUGUGCACAUCUUGACGGUACCUAAUCAGAAAGCCACGGCUAACUACGUGCCAGCAGCCGCGGUAAUACGUAGGUGGCAAGCGUUAUCCGGAAUUAUUGGGCGUAAAGCGCGCGUAGGCGGUUUUUUAAGUCUGAUGUGAAAGCCCACGGCUCAACCGUGGAGGGUCAUUGGAAACUGGAAAACUUGAGUGCAGAAGAGGAAAGUGGAAUUCCAUGUGUAGCGGUGAAAUGCGCAGAGAUAUGGAGGAACACCAGUGGCGAAGGCGACUUUCUGGUCUGUAACUGACGCUGAUGUGCGAAAGCG
RNAcentral lists this ribosomal RNA (746 nucleotides) under uncultured bacterium. Its description in RNAcentral is "bacterial SSU rRNA". It matches the Rfam family "Bacterial small subunit ribosomal RNA", at positions 33 to 761 of the family's 1533-position model. The record is from RNAcentral.